RNAcentral lists this ribosomal RNA (1513 nucleotides) under Mesoplasma coleopterae. Its description in RNAcentral is "bacterial SSU rRNA". It matches the Rfam family "Bacterial small subunit ribosomal RNA". Lineage: Bacteria; Bacillati; Mycoplasmatota; Mollicutes; Entomoplasmatales; Entomoplasmataceae. The record is from RNAcentral.
AGAGUUUGAUCCUGGCUCAGGAUAAACGCUGGCGGCAUGCCUAAUACAUGCAAGUCGAACGGAGGUGCUUGCACCUCAGUGGCGAACGGGUGAGUAACACGUAUCUAAUCUACCUUCUAGCGGGGGAUAACUUUUGGAAACGAAAGGUAAUACCGCAUGUGGAUGUUAUUAUCGCAUGAGAAAACAUUCAAAGAUCCGUUUGGAUCACUAGAAGAUGAGGAUGCGGCGUAUUAGCUAGUAGGCGGGGUAAAGGCCCACCUAGGCGAUGAUACGUAGCCGAACUGAGAGGUUGAUCGGCCACAUUGGGACUGAGAUACGGCCCAGACUCCUACGGGAGGCAGCAGUAGGGAAUUUUUCACAAUGGACGAAAGUCUGAUGAAGCAAUGCCGCGUGAGUGAUGACGGCCUUCGGGUUGUAAAGCUCUGUUGUAAGGGAAGAAAAAAUAGGAGAGGAAAUGCUCUUAUCUUGACGGUACCUUACCAGAAAGCCACGGCUAACUAUGUGCCAGCAGCCGCGGUAAUACAUAGGUGGCAAGCGUUAUCCGGAUUUAUUGGGCGUAUAGGGUGCGUAGGCGGUUUCGCAAGUUUGAGGUUAAAGCCCGGAGCUCAACUCCGGUUCGCCUUGAAAACUGCGGGACUAGAAUAUCAGAGAGGUAAGCGGAAUUCCAUGUGUAGCGGUAAAAUGCGUAGAUAUAUGGAAGAACACCAGUGGCGAAAGCGGCUUACUGGCUGAUUAUUGACGCUGAGGCACGAAAGCGUGGGGAGCAAAUAGGAUUAGAUACCCUAGUAGUCCACGCCGUAAACGUUGAGUACUAAGUAUUGGGGAUUACCUCAGUGCUGCAGCUAACGCAUUAAGUACUCCGCCUGAGUAGUAUGCUCGCAAGAGUGAAACUCAAAGGAAUUGACGGGGACCCGCACAAGUGGUGGAGCAUGUGGUUUAAUUCGAAGCAACACGAAGAACCUUACCAGGGCUUGACAUACAGUGCAAAGCUACAGAGAUGUAGUGGAGGUUAACAUUGAUACAGGUGGUGCAUGGUUGUCGUCAGUUCGUGCCGUGAGGUGUUGGGUUAAGUCCCGCAACGAACGCAACCCUUGUCGUUAGUUACUAACAUUAAGUUGAGGACUCUAACGAGACUGCUAGUGUAAGCUAGAGGAAGGUGGGGAUGACGUCAAAUCAUCAUGCCCCUUAUGUCCUGGGCUACACACGUGCUACAAUGGCCGAUACAAAGAGUCGCAAUCUCGCGAGGGGGAGCUAAUCUCAAAAAGUCGGUCUCAGUUCGGAUUGAAGUCUGCAACUCGACUUCAUGAAGCCGGAAUCACUAGUAAUCGCGAAUCAGCUAUGUCGCGGUGAAUACGUUCUCGGGUCUUGUACACACCGCCCGUCAAACCACGAGAGUUGGUAAUACCAGAAGUACGUUUCCUAACCGUAAGGAAGGCGCGUCCCAAGGUAGGACUAGCGAUUGGGGUUAAGUCGUAACAAGGUAUCCGUACGGGAACGUGCGGAUGGAUCACCU